Molecule: long non-coding RNA, 6973 nt
Organism: Bombus terrestris (buff-tailed bumblebee)
Lineage: Eukaryota; Metazoa; Arthropoda; Insecta; Hymenoptera; Apidae
Exons: 3
Source: RefSeq, a predicted model, not a curated record
UCCUCUGUAUAUAUGGCGGAAUAUAUCAGGCAAAGACGUAAGUUUUAUUGAGUCGCGAAACCCAAAGCGCGUUUUCAACGCGCAAACAACCAAAUAUGCAUACACGCGAUCGCGCUACGUACGGUGUACAAAAACAUAAACGUUAUUGUCGAAGGAAAUGUAAGUGCAGAUGUUGGCAAAGGCACGAGACAUCGUUCCAUGGAGAUUAAAUGAAGCUAAUGGAACGGCAAUUUCGGUGUUUGCAAUCUUAUAACGCAUUUUGCCAGAAGAAUAAUGGAACGCUCAUCGACCGGGAGGGAAUUACGUAAACUUUAGUGGUACAACACGUUGUUUCAAUUUUUCGCCCGGUUUCUUCGAAACUCUAAACCAGUUCGCCGCUUUAUCGUCGAGCUUUUCACUUGUGUAUCCAUCAUCGACUAUAAACACUGCUUUUCAGCAACUUCUGUGAACAAUUAUGUGUUCGUUAUGAUCUUAAUUUCUGCUCUAUUUAACUCGAGCAAAGCAUUUUAAAUAAAAUAAAAUGAUGUUUGUGUAUACUCGCGUAUUUUGUACUAACAAAAUUAUAUCACGGUUCAAAGAGAUUGUGGUAUAUAAUGAUAAAUAUAAAAUAUGAGUGAGAAAACAAUACCUCUAUCUUAAUCUUCGUAAUUGGAUCUUAAAUUUCAUUGCUUCGUGUUCAAAGAAUAAUUGCUCCGACCUAUGUUCUUCCAUUUCCGAACUACAGCAAGAGAUUAAAAGAGAUCUUAAAAGUGCGAUGCUUCAGAGAAACAGCCAAUAUUCGCCUUUGGCCGCAUUCUUACCCUCACAAAAAGAAGUAGAAAGAAUAGAGAGCUAUCUUUGUUCUUAAAAGUUCACUAUCUGUGUUAAAAGUUUCAUACUAUCAAGAAAUUGCAAUGCUAUAAACUUACGAUUUCAAAUAUAGUAAAUAAUGUAGGAUCAUUACAUAGGAUCAGACAGAAAUACUUUUCGAAACUAGAGUAUUGUAUUUACGUGUCUUGAGUAAAUUAUAUAAACCUAGUUAGUAACACGGAGGCGAAGAAAUGACCCAAUAUUGUUCUCAUCUCUCUGUGAAUAGAUACAAUCCCUGCUGCUGUUUCGUGUUCGAGUAAAACAAGAAGGUUGCCUGUUCUUGCCGACCAACAAUAUCAGUUCGCUAGAAAUUCAAAUCAAAACGUUUCUGGAUUUGUGCAUAAAUAUAUUUUGGGCUACAAAAUAUAUUUACACGCCCCCUUAUUUUCUAGUGAAGAGUCUUUUUGAUCAAAUUCUGUAUGUAUUUCGCUUACAUAAUAUUAGAUUAUUACAGUCAUAUGAAAAUGUUACUAGACGAUAUGAUAAAUGUAUAUGAUAAUAAACUUAGUGUGAAAAUAUUAAACUAAAAAUUAAACGAUAGUGAAAAUUCACGAUAAAAAAAGUAAGUUAAUAAAUUGAUAAUAAUAAAAGAAUUGACAAAUCAAGCGAAAAACUGAAUUUUAUUCUGCUAUUCGAUAUUUUCCUUCUUAGACGUUUAAAUAUUGCAUCUCGGACGCUUCGUCUUAUCGCGUUUCUGCUCAUCUAUUUCCUGCAUUCCGAAUGUCUCAGUUCCAAAAUUCAAUUCCAUCAUUUGCAUCUUCCAUAACGUAACAUUGUGACAACAAGAUCAACGAUAUCUUACGCUUUCAGAAAUUGUUAGCGUACACCCUCCCGGCUUGACAGAUAAAAGCAGCGGGAAAUCGAUGUUCGACGAAGAAUCGUCGCGUUAUUGCAUUCAGCCUGCGUCUACCCUCGACAGAUCUUGUUAUUUUUCGUAUAGUACAGUUUCAAUUGCAUUUAUCCAUGGAGAAGCGCCGCAAGCAACGCUCCCGUUUCUAUUCUGCGCUCGGAACUGUCUUCCUUCCGCUGUGUUUCACGUAGACCGCGUAAUUUCUUCGCACAGCUGCGCAUCACGGUGCCUAAACGAACAACCGACGAGACAACAUGACAAUCGAGAGACGAAUUUUAAUAACGUAAGAGAAUGGUUUAAUUGAGAACGCAGGUGAUCGGUCCAGUCAGUGAUAAGUUCUAAAGAAAUCAGUGUUUAAUCCCUUUAGGUCGAAUUUAUCGAAGUACAAAAAAAUGACCAGUUUUUAUUUCUCUGAGAAAGAAAGAAACAAUCGAUGGUCUGAAGUUAAUUCUGCUGCGAAGGAGGAUUAUUUCGAUUAGAAUCUUUUCCUAUUUCGUUCGAAUUUGAGAUAUUCUUUGACGUUAAGAAGAUAUAACUGAGUCGAAAAUAACCGAAAAAACGUGACAUGGUGAAAUACAACUAUUCGUUACAGAUUUUAUACAAUCUGGAAUAUUUAUUUGCAACAAUGGUUACUGUAUGUUUUAAAAUCGUGUUUCAAUUAAAGAAAAAUUAAAUUAGCACAAAUGACGUACAGUCUACCUACGCCUUUUCAGAAUUACGUUAUUACGAAAUUUUAAUUAUACGAUAUAAUGCUUAAAUAUGUUACGGCUAGCCGUCAUUAACAUAAUUCGAAUCCAGUGAAUCUGGUAACUAGAUGGAUAUGAUAUUCGUUAAUUAAUCCUCAAAUUGCACAUAUUAAAUAUUAUAUAAUAUUCGUAAUUCAUCGUUCAGAAAUAUAAAAUUUAUGAGACCAUGUAAUAUGGCGUUGUACGAAUAGAAAUGGAAGGAAAGAACCAUAGAUCGGAUAAAUAUGUAUUAUCUGGCUUGACGUACAAACGGUAUCCCUUUCCAUCGUAAUUCUAUCAUCUCGACCUCAUUUCGCUCACGUCUACUUGCUUUUUCAGCUAUUCGCUUUCAAAACGUAAUUAACCGUCACGGAUAUUCGAUAUGAAAAACAAAACUUAUAUUCUGAUUUGAGACAAUAAUGGUAAAUGUAUAAAUAACCAAUUAAAUUAAUACCAAAUGCAAAAUACAUCGCAAACAUCAAUGAAACGCAAAAUAUCUUGCGUACUACGAUUUUAAUAAUGAUCUCCGGUGUCAAAGGAUCUCCUAUGUGUUACAGUAGAACCUUGAUUAUCCAAACUAAUCAUGAAUCACGGUGUACGGAUAAUCGAAUAACUUUGGUUUCACACAAGAGCAGAUUAUAGGUCUAUCUGAAACUAUUUUAUCAAUAUUAAUAUUAAACAGAAACAAGAAUUUUCCUUCCUAUUUUCUUGCAAAGAACUAUUUCUACCUCUUCUCCCAUCUUCCUUUCUUUCUUAUAGAUUUUACAGAUACAAAUUUUCGAGAUUCGAUAAACGGAAUGACAAAAUCAGGCAUUUGUACGUGUUCACGCUUCGAGUAAAAGUGGUGUCUUUAUUAAACCGCUUCUUCUAACACCAGAAACAAAUCUUUGCCGCAUAUCAGCUCUAACGAGCAACAAAGUACAGCCUCACAAUGCUUUGCCUCUUGGCAAUUGUAAUCCACAUUGUUCUUCCAUUGUUGUAGCCGCUUUCCGUGAUUGCGCCGGGAAUCAACACAUCGUUUGAACCGCGUCUUUCGCCUAGGUCAGUCUCGUUUGAUUUUCAUACAGGGUUCAUACAAGGAUUUCCGUAACGCUCGAGUUCAGUUCGAUUUCCGAUUAUGUACACACUGUGUAUAUUAAAAUUUUCAAUCUUCGUCCGAUCAUAUCAAUAUUUGCAAGUACGAAUGAAAUCCGAAUACGAGAAAACCACGUGAGAAGCGAUUUCGUUUAUAAAAUAUUAAUUUCAAGCUGUGUCGUACUAUCCAGGAUUAUUAUACAAUUCAUAUGCUGUUUAGAUAUUGCAUUCAAGUGCACAAUACAGUUUCUUUUUGUUUUGUAUCGUUAAACACGAACUAGACUUUUGUCUCAAUUGUGUUAUUAUUUUUUCUUUUUUUUCGUUUUAGAAAAUCAUUAUCCUGUAAGUAAAAAAUGUCAAAGUUAAAUAUUUCUAGAUCAACGGCCAGUUAUUUCAGCACGAAGCAUUUGUGUUUUAAAGUAGAAUUAGUUGUCAAGCGAAAUUUAAUUCUAGCGAAGGCACUUGUUUUGAAGGCGCUUUGUGAAGAAGGUCCAAAAGUUUCGAGAAAAUCUGGAGCUCACCGAAACUUUUCUUGGUGUUUGAGCAACACUGUUCGUCAAUGUUGAAAGCAGCUCGAAAUUAGAUGUACAUAUUUUUAGCCGAAGAUAUAGGAAAGAUGACAAGUGAGGAAUAAAAGAAAAAAAAAAAAUAAAAAAUUCGAUGUUAAUAAACAUAAAUUUUCCUUUAAAUAAUUUGAAUCAUAAUAAAUAUUUUUCUAAACGUUUAGCAUAUGCCUUUUCACCAGAGUUAAAAGAUACCAUCCAUUAACGUAAUAUAUAGUGUUACAAGACUUUAAAAGUAGGAGAGAAGAUCUAACAGUUUACGAAGAACAUCGCUAUAAGAAGAUUUAAUAACGUUAAUAAAACAAUGAUUUCGGUUCUUAAAACUUAAACAGAUUUCAACCUCGGGUCUUUGCGGAAAGUUAAGGAGAAUUAAUAGUUCAAGACAGAUUAUCCAACUAAAGUUUGGUCAUUGAAAUUUUCGUUCCUAAACAUAACUUAAUAUAGUCCAUAAAUUACUUAUAAAAUACAUAAAUCUACGCAGUCUUUAGUUUCUAAUAUAACAAGCAGAAUGAAUAUGUUAUGUCACGUUACAAAAGAAAUUUCGAGAAGUUUUGUAUAACGCGCAUAAUAUAUUCAUGGAACUUUUUUAUGGUAAGUGUUCAAGUAAUUGAAUCGGUGCAAUUUAUCAAAAUGAAUUGCAACACAUACGCGAACAAUCCUAACUAUAUGUUACCUCGAUGUAAAAGAGAAACUCGUUAUUGUCACGGUAACCUCGAGAAAGUGUUCAAGUAUAGCAGCAUGGCAGAGAUACAACGAAUAAAUCCAAUACUCGUGUCGACUAAAAUUACUCGACUGUAUUGAUAAGAGAUGAAAUUGGCUGGUUUCCGCGUGACAACCUUCGUUCUAAUGUCGUUUCACGACGAUCGUGAAUGCGUUUUCGGCGCGCUUUCGUAAGUGCACGCGCGUGGAAAACUUGAUUCCCGGCAAUUUGACUAAGUAACGAAGUUUCAAGCCUCUGCCCGUUCAAUUCGUCAAAAUGGAACGGAACUCGGCCAAUUUAAGCGUCGUCCCCGGACUUCACCAAGUGUGUUUCUGUCUCUGCGUCAGUCAUCGGCAGGGAAACAAUUAAUUUCGCGUUACCUGUCAGACCCUGUUUCUAGGAUUCACGACAACGUCCCUUGACGUAUUUUUCAAUGCGACCUGAAUUCAAGCACUGCGUUGAAAAAUUCAAUCCCGUCGGCGAUGCUUCGCAUUCGCGCCAAGUCGAAACAGACUCGCAGCUGCUGCUAUGGAUUUCGCAUUUCGUCGCACGUACGGCGUAUAUAGAGUACAAAAUGUAAUUUUCAUAUUGUCUUCGUUUUAACGCGAUGUUAAAAUAAUUAGAUGCUUUCAGUUAUGCACUGGCACAUGAAAAUAUUCGAAUACUUGUGAACAUUUUUUCUGAAUAUACUAUAUGUAUAAUAUCAUAAAAACUUAUUAUGAAAGAUUAUGGUAUUAUCUUUAUUACGAGUAACGUAAAAAGAUAUUUAGUACAGGGUUCAGUAAUGAACGCCUGCAUUCAGUUAUAUCGCGUUUAACUGCACGCGUUGUGUUCAAAAAUAUGUAGGAAUUUUAUUGUGCUCAUUCUGAAUCUAAAAAUGUGUAUUUGGGAAAUUGGAUGUGAAACUUAAUUAGGAAAACGUUUGUACGGAUUAUAUUUUCGACAAAUUACGUUGUUAGUAAAAUUUCAUGAAAGACAAUAAACCAUGCAAAUCUCAGAGAUGCAAAAUUCUUUAUAAUAGUAACAACUAUACCCUUAAAUUGUACACAUUAUAUUCAUAACGUAAUUAAAUUUACGUAGAUUUGAAUUUGCUACAGAAUGGAAAACUCCUUGCUGCAAGAUUGAGGAAACCUUGGAUGUUGAUUAAAAAUUUAAAAUAUUGUGAUUUCGUUAUGUUCAAAAAAAGCAAUUCACUUUGCUACACGGUAUUCGUUACGUGGCGCACGAUACCCCGAUUUGUAUGCGGUAUAAAAAUCGUAUGACUCACAGCUUUCAGCGCAUUAAUAAGCUUGAGACUAAGAAAGAAGCGCAAAAAGCCCUGAUGCAUAUUCAAAACGAGAAGGUAGAAGAGGUAUAUAAAGCACGGGGCGUCCGAGUGUAUCGUAUAAUACCUUUAAAGCUGGCUGAAAAUCUUGACGAAACUUUGUCCGGAGCUUUCAACGUGUCGUCGCGUACCGAUGAAAAGCUGAAGAAGGAAAGAAACAAAAAGAAGUGUGGAAAAAUUUCGAGAAAUCUUAUCGACCAUAAAUACCGAUUCAUAAUUAAACGUGUGUUCUUCAUGAGUAGUUUAAGCGACCUUCCGCUUUUAUUCCAGAAAAUGGUCUAUCGAUUUUGGCCCCGAUUUGAGCACCGCUAUCGAAACAUUGUGUACCCGGAAGAUCUUUAUUUCUGCCAAAUUCCAUUCAACAUAUUACACUCAGCGUAGCAUGGGACGCAUCAGCUAAUCGCGCCAGAAUUCCCAUGAAAUACUGAAACUUGUUUCUCACUUUCGUUGAUUACACACACCCGUUCAGUUCUAUCGUGUUGAAUUUUCUAACCAACGAAUUCACGUAACUUUGGAAAAUUACUAGCCCUCGAGGGAGAGAGAGAAAGAGAGAGAGAGAGAGAGCGCGCAAUUUCCAAUUGGAUUAUUCGCGCAAGUGUGUAUACGGCGAGUUAUUACAUUAUUUAGCCGAUCGAUGUCUCGAAUUAAGCCCACCGUCUAAAUCCUCAUCGACCGAAUCUUAUCUGUGUAUCCAACUAUGUGAAUUAAUUACGAUCACGUUCACGUUUGCUUUCGAGACAUUAAUAACACGACUCAGCAACUAUGGAAAUUCUAAUAAUUCUUUUUAAUAGAUCUCCAUAUGCGUAGCGACUGUACGGACAUAGGUGCGCGCCUAACGCAUUGAUAGGAGAACGGCUGUCAUCAAUCAUAUGCGAAAACGGUUACGAA